GCAGCUAGUAGACUUCUUCCUCCAUCCAAGAGACUAAGCCAUUUAGUUCCCUAGUCUCCCAGCUACUGUAGAUGCUUACCUCUGCCUCUGAUAUUCGAUCCUUGGAAGUCUUAUUUUUCCAAGAGUUUGGUCUUCUCAACUAUUUCCUAUAGAAGCAAAUUUCCUUUCACCAGGAAUGUGAGGUAUAGUCAGGUUCUCCUCUUUAGUUUCCCUCCAUUCAUCUCCUUUGAUACAGCUAGAAAGCUCUCAGCUCUUUCCCCAAGAAUCAUCAAAAGAGGGGAAAUCACAUAAAGACUGGGCAGAUGGUGGGUGCAGAUUUAGCUGAAGAGUUCAGAUCUUUGAGAAGGAGGUGCAUUCAUGACAACCAAGCAGCAGCCAGUAAGGAGGAGAAGGGGAGAGAGCUCAUUCGAUAUUAACAACAUUGUCAUCCCAAUGUCUGUUGCUGCAACAACUCGCGUAGAGAAACUGCAAUACAAGGAAAUCCUUACGCCCAGCUGGCGGGAGGUUGAUCUUCAGUCUCUGAAGGGGAGUCCUGAUGAGGAGAAUGAGGAGAUUGAGGACCUAUCCGACGCAGCCUUCGCCGCCCUGCAUGCCAAAUGUGAGGAGAUGGAGAGGGCACGGUGGCUGUGGACCACGAGUGUGCCACCCCAGCGGCGGGGCAGCAGGUCCUACAGGUCAUCAGACGGCCGGACAACCCCCCAGCUGGGCAGUGCCAACCCCUCCACCCCCCAGCCUGCCUCCCCUG
Molecule: small RNA, 745 nt
Filed under: Pan troglodytes (chimpanzee)
Lineage: Eukaryota; Metazoa; Chordata; Mammalia; Primates; Hominidae
Description: processed transcript
Source: RNAcentral